GACGAACGCUGGCGGCGUGCUUAACACAUGCAAGUCGAACGGUGAAGGGACCGGUUUUUGCUGGUUCUGGAUGAGUGGCGAACGGGUGAGUCACACGUGAGUAACCUGCCCCCUUCUUCUGGAUAACCGCAUGAAAGUGUGGCUAAUACGGGAUAUUUUGCGCCUGCUGCAUGGUGGGUGUGGGAACAAUAUUGUUUCGGUGGGGGAGGGGCUGGCGGCCUAUAAGCUUGUUGGUGGGGUGACGGCCUAGCAAGGCGGUGGCGGGUAGCCGGCCUGAGAGGGUGGACGGUCACACUGGGACGGAGACACGGCCCAGACUCCUACGGGAGGCAGCAGUGGGGAAUAUUGCACAAUGGGCGCAAGCCUGAUGCAGCGACGCCGCGUGAGGGAUGGAGGCCUUCGGGUUGUAAACCUCUUUCGCCAGUGAAGCAGGCCUGUCCCUUUUGUGGGUGGGUUGACGGUAGCUGGAUAAGAAGCGCCGGCUAACUACGUG
RNAcentral lists this ribosomal RNA (493 nucleotides) under uncultured bacterium. RNAcentral's name for it is "partial 16S ribosomal RNA". It matches the Rfam family "Bacterial small subunit ribosomal RNA", at positions 28 to 507 of the family's 1533-position model. The record is from RNAcentral.